This 654-nucleotide long non-coding RNA is filed under the name Phoenix dactylifera (date palm). Its description in RNAcentral is "long non-coding RNA (PDAC_LNC019227)". The record is from RNAcentral. Lineage: Eukaryota; Viridiplantae; Streptophyta; Magnoliopsida; Arecales; Arecaceae.
CCGGAUUUGAUGCGGAAAAAGGCGGAGGAAGAAAUAAAAAGGUCGUAGGUCAGUUUCUAGCUGCCGAGGGCCUGGAGCUUGACACAGAUGAUGUUGAGGCUAUCUGAAAAUGUUCAUAGAGAUCCUGUUCAUCACUCGGCAAUUGGAAACAGCUACUUGAAGGAUCCAGCCGAUACUCUUCUACGAUCAUGCAAUACAAUAUGUGCAAGUGUUGGAUAUUCAAUUAACAGGAAAGGAAAAGAAAGGUAGGAAGAUCAUUUCAAUGAUUCUUAUUUAUUUGGUUGGAAAUUGAUGGAAAUCAGUUUGUGGCUUCCACUUUUAUAAGCACAAUUACAGAUUUUUUGUUGGGGUUCCAGUACUGGGGAGAAGUGUAGGAAGCGAUAAGAGGAAGGAAAAGAGAAUAAAGGAGACUUGACUUGCGUGAUUCUUCUGGGCAAUCCACUGUCUUAUAAAGCAAUUCCAGUACUCUAUAUUUCCUGCGAACGUUAUGAAUUGCGGGGGCGCUGUUUUUUUGGGUUUUUUUUUUUGCUUUUCCAUGGACUGCCCCUUGUUUUCGACAACCUUGCAAACGAGAAUGCAUUUCCCAACUACCAAACUCCCCCUCCCUCUCAUGUGAAAUGCGAGUUGAAUCCUUGGAGACCGGCCCUCGAAAGU